UACAGAGGUCUCAACCGUUGUUCGGAUUCAUUGGGCGUAAAGGGUGCGUAGGCGGUCGCGCAAGUCGGAUGUGAAAUCUCAGGCUCAACCCUGAAACUGCAUUCGAUACUGCGUGGCUAGAGUGCUGGAGAGGAGACUGGAAUUUACGGUGUAGCAGUGAAAUGCGUAGAUAUCGUUUGGAACGCCAAUGGUGAAAACAGGUUGCUGGGAGUGUGCUGACGCUGAGACACGAAAGCCAGGGGAGCAAACGGG
This 252-nucleotide ribosomal RNA is filed under the name uncultured bacterium. RNAcentral describes it as "partial 16S ribosomal RNA". It matches the Rfam family "Bacterial small subunit ribosomal RNA", at positions 524 to 776 of the family's 1533-position model. The record is from RNAcentral.